GAUGAACGCUGGCGGCGUGCCUAAUACAUGCAAGUCGAGCGAACAGACGAGGAGCUUGCUCCUCUGACGUUAGCGGCGGACGGGUGAGUAACACGUGGAUAACCUACCUAUAAGACUGGGAUAACUUCGGGAAACCGGAGCUAAUACCGGAUAAUAUAUUGAACCGCAUGGUUCAAUAGUGAAAGACGGUUUUGCUGUCACUUAUAGAUGGAUCCGCGCCGCAUUAGCUAGUUGGUAAGGUAACGGCUUACCAAGGCAACGAUGCGUAGCCGACCUGAGAGGGUGAUCGGCCACACUGGAACUGAGCCACGGUCCAGACUCCUACGGGAGGCAGCAGUAGGGAAUCUUCCGCAAAGGGCGAAAGCCUGACGGAGCAACGCCGCGUGAGUGAUGAAGGUCUUCGGAUCGUAAAACUCUGUUAUUAGGGAAGAACAAAUGUGUAAGUAACUAUGCACGUCUUGACGGUACCUAAUCAGAAAGCCACGGCUAACUACGUG
Molecule: ribosomal RNA, 497 nt
Filed under: uncultured bacterium
Lineage: Bacteria
Description: partial 16S ribosomal RNA
Rfam family: Bacterial small subunit ribosomal RNA
Source: RNAcentral